This 358-nucleotide long non-coding RNA is filed under the name Bos taurus (domestic cattle). Its description in RNAcentral is "long non-coding RNA NONBTAT024751". Lineage: Eukaryota; Metazoa; Chordata; Mammalia; Artiodactyla; Bovidae. The record is from RNAcentral.
GAUUUUAAAUAACAUUUUAUUCACUGAAAUGAAAAAAUGCAGGAAACACAUAAACUUUGAAUAAAGGUUUCCAUUUUUUAAAGUUUUUUUUUCUAAAGUAUGCUGAGGCUCUAGAAUCAAAAAGAUAUUGUCUUCUUCUUAUCUAGCUUAGCAAGAAUAAUGGCUCCAGUUCUCAUCUAAGUAUUUUUAAAGGGCACACAAACUCACACACCACACAAAAGUAAGUACUUUUUCCAAGAAGCAUGUAUCAUAUUGUUAUGUAUGUGUUUGUUUUAUCAGUCAUUUUUAAAGGUCAUUUAAAAUCUAGUAUCUAAAUGAUGGAGGCAACAAAGAGCAAGUAGAUUCGAGAGAAGCCAGA